Kockovaella imperatae is the source of this 80-nucleotide transfer RNA. It matches the Rfam family "tRNA". From Rfam's summary of the family: Transfer RNA (tRNA) molecules are approximately 80 nucleotides in length. Their secondary structure includes four short double-helical elements and three loops (D, anti-codon, and T loops). NCBI's taxonomy places the organism in Eukaryota, Fungi, Basidiomycota, Tremellomycetes, Tremellales, Cuniculitremaceae. The record is from Rfam.
GCUUUUGUGGCCUAGUUGGUAAGGCAUCCGCUUCACAGCGAAUGCGCGGAAGAUCCAGAGUUCGAUCCUCUGCGGAAGCA